RNAcentral lists this transfer RNA (73 nucleotides) under Vicugna pacos (alpaca). RNAcentral's name for it is "tRNA-Ala (AGC) (tRNA-Ala-AGC-114-1)". It matches the Rfam family "tRNA". From Rfam's summary of the family: Transfer RNA (tRNA) molecules are approximately 80 nucleotides in length. Their secondary structure includes four short double-helical elements and three loops (D, anti-codon, and T loops). The record is from RNAcentral. Lineage: Eukaryota; Metazoa; Chordata; Mammalia; Artiodactyla; Camelidae.
GGAGGGUAUAGCUCAGUGGUAGAGCACAUGCUUAGCAUGCAUGAGGUCCUGGGUUCAACCCCCAGUACCUCCA